Molecule: transfer RNA, 55 nt
Filed under: Myotis brandtii (Brandt's bat)
Lineage: Eukaryota; Metazoa; Chordata; Mammalia; Chiroptera; Vespertilionidae
Source: Rfam by way of RNAcentral
GCCAGUGUUGCUCAAUGGUUAGAGCGUCAGUCUGUGAACUGAAGGGCCACAGGCU